Molecule: unclassified non-coding RNA, 279 nt
Filed under: plant metagenome
Description: partial contains small subunit ribosomal RNA, internal transcribed spacer 1, and 5.8S ribosomal RNA
Source: RNAcentral
UUUCCGUAGGUGAACCUGCGGAAGGAUCAUUAUCGUACAAAAAGUGAGGGGCAUGCGAGGGCUGUCCCUCACCCACAAGUCGGGCACGCCCGAGUGUGUCCUCUUGACUAAUAAUCCAUUUCACCCUUCGUGCAUCACCGCGUGGGCACCCUUCGGGAUCAUCACGGAGGGGGGCUCCCGUUUUCACACAAACCGCUCUUUUGAAAGUGUAGAAUGACAAGAUUGAUGCAAACAAGACAACUUACAACAACGGAUCUCUUCGCUCACGCAUCGAUCGUA